RNAcentral lists this ribosomal RNA (2934 nucleotides) under Yersinia ruckeri. RNAcentral's name for it is "bacterial LSU rRNA". It matches the Rfam family "Bacterial large subunit ribosomal RNA". The record is from RNAcentral. Lineage: Bacteria; Pseudomonadati; Pseudomonadota; Gammaproteobacteria; Enterobacterales; Yersiniaceae.
GGGUUGUGAGGUUAAGCGACUAAGCGUACACGGUGGAUGCCUAGGCAGUCAGAGGCGAUGAAGGGCGUGCUAAUCUGCGAAAAGCGUCGGUAAGCUGAUAUGAAGCGUAAUAACCGACGAUACCCGAAUGGGGAAACCCAGUGCAAUUCGUUGCACUAUUGCAUGGUGAAUACAUAGCCAUGCAAGGCGAACCGGGGGAACUGAAACAUCUAAGUACCCCGAGGAAAAGAAAUCAACCGAGAUUCCCCCAGUAGCGGCGAGCGAACGGGGAAGAGCCCAGAGUCUGAAUCAGUUGGUGUGUUAGUGGAAGCGUCUGGAAAGUCGCACGGUACAGGGUGAUAGUCCCGUACACAAAAACACACUGGCUGUGAACUCGAUGAGUAGGGCGGGACACGUGACAUCCUGUCUGAAUAUGGGGGGACCAUCCUCCAAGGCUAAAUACUCCUGACUGACCGAUAGUGAACCAGUACCGUGAGGGAAAGGCGAAAAGAACCCCGGCGAGGGGAGUGAAAUAGAACCUGAAACCGUGUACGUACAAGCAGUGGGAGCACCUUCGUGGUGUGACUGCGUACCUUUUGUAUAAUGGGUCAGCGACUUAUAUUUUGUAGCAAGGUUAACCGAAUAGGGGAGCCGUAGGGAAACCGAGUCUUAACUGGGCGUCUAGUUGCAAGGUAUAGACCCGAAACCCGGUGAUCUAGCCAUGGGCAGGUUGAAGGUUGGGUAACACUAACUGGAGGACCGAACCGACUAAUGUUGAAAAAUUAGCGGAUGACUUGUGGCUGGGGGUGAAAGGCCAAUCAAACCGGGAGAUAGCUGGUUCUCCCCGAAAGCUAUUUAGGUAGCGCCUCGUGAACUCAUCUUCGGGGGUAGAGCACUGUUUCGGCUAGGGGUCCAUCCCGGAUUACCAAACCGAUGCAAACUCCGAAUACCGAAGAAUGUUAUCACGGGAGACACACGGCGGGUGCUAACGUCCGUCGUGAAGAGGGAAACAACCCAGACCGCCAGCUAAGGUCCCAAAGUCAUGGUUAAGUGGGAAACGAUGUGGGAAGGCAUAGACAGCCAGGAUGUUGGCUUAGAAGCAGCCAUCAUUUAAAGAAAGCGUAAUAGCUCACUGGUCGAGUCGGCCUGCGCGGAAGAUGUAACGGGGCUAAACCAUGCACCGAAGCUGCGGCAGCGACGCUUAGGCGUUGUUGGGUAGGGGAGCGUUCUGUAAGCCGUUGAAGGUGGCCUGUGAGGGCUGCUGGAGGUAUCAGAAGUGCGAAUGCUGACAUAAGUAACGAUAAUGCGGGUGAAAAACCCGCACGCCGGAAGACCAAGGGUUCCUGUCCAACGUUAAUCGGGGCAGGGUGAGUCGACCCCUAAGGCGAGGCUGAAAAGCGUAGUCGAUGGGAAACAGGUUAAUAUUCCUGUACUGGGUGUGACUGCGAAGGGGGGACGGAGAAGGCUAGGCUAGCCGGGCGACGGUUGUCCCGGUUUAAGCAUGUAGGCGGAGUGACUUGGUAAAUCCGGUUGCUUAUCAACGCUGAGGUGUGAUGACGAGCCACUACGGUGGUGAAGUAGUUGAUGCCAAGCUUCCAGGAAAAGCCUCUAAGCAUCAGGUGACAUUCAAUCGUACCCCAAACCGACACAGGUGGUCAGGUAGAGAAUACUCAGGCGCUUGAGAGAACUCGGGUGAAGGAACUAGGCAAAAUGGUGCCGUAACUUCGGGAGAAGGCACGCUGGCAUUAGGUAAAGAGACUUGCUCUCGGCGCCGAAGCCAGUCGCAGAUACCAGCUGGCUGCAACUGUUUAAUAAAAACACAGCACUGUGCAAACACGAAAGUGGACGUAUACGGUGUGACGCCUGCCCGGUGCUGGAAGGUUAAUUGAUGGGGUCAGCCGCAAGGCGAAGCUCUUGAUCGAAGCCCCAGUAAACGGCGGCCGUAACUAUAACGGUCCUAAGGUAGCGAAAUUCCUUGUCGGGUAAGUUCCGACCUGCACGAAUGGCGUAAUGAUGGCUAGGCUGUCUCCACCCGAGACUCAGUGAAAUUGAACUCGCUGUGAAGAUGCAGUGUACCCGCGGCAAGACGGAAAGACCCCGUGAACCUUUACUAUAGCUUGACACUGAAUAUUGAGCCUUGAUGUGUAGGAUAGGUGGGAGGCAUCGAAGCGUGGACGCCAGUCUGCGUGGAGCCAACCUUGAAAUACCACCCUUUAAUGUUUGAUGUUCUAACUCGGCCCCAUAAUCUGGGGUGAGGACAGUGUCUGGUGGGUAGUUUGACUGGGGCGGUCUCCUCCCAAAGAGUAACGGAGGAGCACGAAGGUUAGCUAAUCACGGUCGGACAUCGUGAGGUUAGUGCAAAGGCAUAAGCUAGCUUGACUGCGAGAGUGACGGCUCGAGCAGGUACGAAAGUAGGUCUUAGUGAUCCGGUGGUUCUGAAUGGAAGGGCCAUCGCUCAACGGAUAAAAGGUACUCCGGGGAUAACAGGCUGAUACCGCCCAAGAGUUCAUAUCGACGGCGGUGUUUGGCACCUCGAUGUCGGCUCAUCACAUCCUGGGGCUGAAGUAGGUCCCAAGGGUAUGGCUGUUCGCCAUUUAAAGUGGUACGCGAGCUGGGUUUAGAACGUCGUGAGACAGUUCGGUCCCUAUCUGCCGUGGGCGUUGGAAGAUUGAGAGGGGCUGCUCCUAGUACGAGAGGACCGGAGUGGACGCAUCACUGGUGUUCGGGUUGUCAUGCCAAUGGCAUUGCCCGGUAGCUAAAUGCGGAAAAGAUAAGCGCUGAAAGCAUCUAAGCGCGAAACUUGCCUCGAGAUGAGUCUUCCCUGGGGCUUUAAGCCCCCUGAAGGAACGUUAAAGACUAUGACGUUGAUAGGCUGGGUGUGUAAGUGCAGCGAUGCAUUGAGCUAACCAGUACUAAUGAUCCGUGAGGCUUAACCUUACAACACCGAAGGUGUUU